UUUGAUCCUGGCUCAGGACGAACGCUGGCGGCGUGCCUAACACAUGCAAGUCGUACGGACUGUUGACCUUCGGGACAACAGUUAGUGGCGAACGGGUGAGUAACGCGUGGGUAACCUGCCCUUAUAUCGCGGAUAACUUGCCGAAAGGUGAGCUAAUACCGGAUAACCUAUCGAGAUUGCAUAAUUUUGAUAGCAAAGGCGGCCUCUAUUUAUAAGCUGCCGUAUAAGGAUGGACCCGCGUCUGACUAGCUAGUUGGUGAGGUAACGGCUCACCAAGGCGACGAUCAGUAGCCGGCCUGAGAGGGUGAACGGCCACACUGGGACUGAGACACGGCCCAGACUCCUACGGGAGGCAGCAGUGGGGAAUCUUCCGCAAUGGACGAAAGUCUGACGGAGCAACGCCGCGUGAGUGAAGAAGGUCUUCGGAUUGUAAAACUCUGUUUUUUGGGAAGAACGGUCUCUAUGUGAAUAAUGUAGAGAAUUGACGGUACUNAAAGGAGGAAGCCCCGGCUAACUUAACGUGCCAGCAGCCGCGGUAAUACGUAGGGGGCAAGCGUUGUCCGGAAUUAUUGGGCGUAAAGAGCGCGCAGGCGGUUUGUUAAGUCUACCGUGAAAGCUUACGGCUCAACCGUAACAGGCCGGUGGAUACUGACAGACUUGAGGGCAGGAGAGGAAAGUGGAAUUCCCAGUGUAGCGGUGAAAUGCGUAGAGAUUGGGAGGAACACCAGUGGCGAAGGCGACUUUCUGGACUGUUACUGACGCUGAGGCGCGAAAGCUGGGGGAGUGAACGGGAUUAGAUACCCCGGUAAUCCCAGCCGUAAACGAUGGGUACUAGGUGUAGGAGGUAUCGACCCCUUCUGUGCCGGAGUUAACGCAAUAAGUACCCCGCCUGGGGAGUACGGUCGCAAGACUGAAACUCAAAGGAAUUGACGGGGGCCCGCACAAGCGGUGGAGCAUGUGGUUUAAUUCGACGCAACGCGAAGAACCUUACCAGGGCUUGACAUCGUACGAAAGGCUUAGAGAUAAGUUCCCCUCUUCGGAGGCGUAUAGACAGGUGGAGCAUG
RNAcentral lists this ribosomal RNA (1064 nucleotides) under uncultured bacterium. RNAcentral's name for it is "bacterial SSU rRNA". It matches the Rfam family "Bacterial small subunit ribosomal RNA", at positions 12 to 1047 of the family's 1533-position model. The record is from RNAcentral.